Molecule: ribosomal RNA, 254 nt
Filed under: uncultured bacterium
Lineage: Bacteria
Description: partial 16S ribosomal RNA
Rfam family: Bacterial small subunit ribosomal RNA
Source: RNAcentral
UACGGGGGGAGCAAGCGUUGUUCGGAUUUACUGGGCGUAAAGGGCGCGUAGGCGGCCACCGCAAGUCGACUGUGAAAUCUCCGGGCUUAACCCGGAAAGGUCAGCCGAUACUGCGGGGCUAGAGUGCAGAAGGGGCAACUGGAAUUCUCGGUGUAGCGGUGAAAUGCGUAGAUAUCGAGAGGAACACCUGCGGCGAAGGCGAGUCUCUGGACAAUUCCUGACACUGAGGCACGAAAGCCAGGGGAGCAAACGGG